Phyllostomus hastatus (greater spear-nosed bat) is the source of this 463-nucleotide long non-coding RNA. RefSeq lists it as uncharacterized. The record is from RefSeq and is a predicted model, not a curated record. The transcript has 4 exons. NCBI's taxonomy places the organism in Eukaryota, Metazoa, Chordata, Mammalia, Chiroptera, Phyllostomidae.
AGAAGCAUCAAUUGGUUGCCACCUAGGAUGGAACCCGCAACCUAGUGCCCUCUUCUUCCCUCGGCACCUCCCACAACCACAAGCCUGAGGCUCUCAGUCAACGUGGAAUUCACAAGCAUUUUUGAGCUACUUCUACUGUAAUGCCAAGCAACGUGAUCCUACAGUCCACCACAGUCUCCAGCAGUCCCCAGGAUUUCUGCUGGAACUAUGUUCUCUGAGAUACCUCUGCCAUUUGGCUCUUCUUCCUGCAUAGCUGCUGCUGAACUGGACAACUCCUUCACUGGAAUCUGCCAGGAAUAAAUCACCCCAAACAAGCAUUUUUGUGAAUGAAGUACCAGUUACAAAAUUGGUGGGGCCCUGGCCCAGUGGCUCAGUUGGUUGGAGCAUCAUCCCCAUGCACCAAAAGUUUGCAGGAUCACUGUAUCUAACACAGCUCUGGCACAAAGAAGCCCAGCAGCAAAAG